RNAcentral lists this long non-coding RNA (1332 nucleotides) under Olea europaea subsp. europaea. Lineage: Eukaryota; Viridiplantae; Streptophyta; Magnoliopsida; Lamiales; Oleaceae. The record is from RNAcentral.
UCCGCAUCUAUUUAUCAAAUUUCAGUAGGUUUUCUAAAUAUUUGCUGAAAGAACUUAUCAAGUACCAAUUGCCAGGUAAAAAGAGGAAGAGGGAGCUUAUCAUAUCGGAACCAUAUCCAGAAUCUGAGUAUUAUCCUAGUUGUAAUAUUCCAAAACCAGAUCAAGAGAGACUGGAGAGAAAGGCUGCUUAUGAACAAUCUAAGAAUGAUAUUACCAAGUGGGAACCUUCGGUCAAGAGAAACAGAGAGGCACCUACUUUAUAUUUUGAUGAGGAUGUAGACUUGGGAUUUUCAGGCGUAGGAGCAAUUGCUUCUGAAUUUGAACCCAGAAUUGAUUUCGAGAAGAAAAUUGCUUCCUUAGUGAAUGAUACUGAGGUCGUGGAAGCUCACAAAAAGAUGGUGCCAGGCUUCUUGAACUGAACAAGGUAAGGAGGUCAUAUUUAUACAUUCUGGCAUUCCAUAUAAAAAUGUAUGAUUGAUCCUCAUUUAUGGUUAUUGUUUUUAUGUGCUAUUCUAUUAUUGUAAAAGCAGCACAAAUGAUGAUAAAUAAAUAAGUUUCCUUUCUUGAUGCCAUUUUGUAGAUAUCCGUUGAAGAUGUGAAAGAUCGUCAGGCCCGAUUGGCUAAAAUGUGUAGUCUACUUUUCCGUCAUGAAACGAAGGUGAAGCGAAUAAAAAAGAUCAAGUCCAAAACCUAUCACCGCUUGUUGAAGAAAGAUAGAUCGAAAGCAUUCGAAGCUGAGAUUCAAUUGAAUCCAGAAGCUGCUAAAGACCUUGCAAUGAAACAAGAGUUCAAAAGAGCUGAGGUAUUGGAAUAUCUACGACAUGAUGUGAUUACUUCAGGAGUUGGGGUUAACUUUUGAUUUCAUUUUCGAUUCUUGAGAAUCAGCUGGUGCUUACAAUCCUUCUUGUUUCACGCAAGAAUGCAUAACUCUAAAACACAAAAACAGCUCCAAAAGGGCGAAGCGCAUCUUAAAAUGUGGUUUGGAUGUCCAAGAUGAAGGAACCCGAACAGCUUCGUCAACAUGCUACUUUGACCAGAAAAAUGAAAUCUAUGAAAGAUAGAAGUAGUAGCGAUGAGAGUACUGACAAUGAUGACAUUGAGGAAAUCUCAUAUGGUUCUGAUCAGGAUAUUGCAUCAAAACUGUUCAUGACAGCAAAAGAGAAGACACUUGAAGUGCUGGAAGGGGAUGAAGAAGUGCCUAAAUCUGGAGUGUUUUGUUUACCAUUUAUGGUAUGUUAUGUGCAUUUUUCAUUUCAAAAAUAGUAUAAUAUAAUGUAACAUAUUUAUAUGCUCGUUUACUUGAACAGGUACGUGGGUUGAAAAAGAGAAAAG